CAGUUAUCGUUUAUUUGAUAGUACCUUACUACUUGGAUACCUGUGGUAAUUCUAGAGCUAAUACAUGCUAAAAACCCCGACUCACGAAGGGGUGUAUUUAUUAGAUAAAAAACCAAUGCCCUCCGGGGCUCUUUGGUGAUUCAUAAUAACUCAACGAAUCGCAUGGCCUUGCGCCGGCGAUGGUUCAUUCAAAUUUCUGCCCUAUCAACUUUCGAUGGUAGGAUCGAGGCCUACCAUGGUUUCUACGGGUAACGGGGAAUUAGGGUUCGAUUCCGGAGAGGGAGCCUGAGAAACGGCUACCACAUCCAAGGAAGGCAGCAGGCGCGCAAAUUACCCAAUCCUAAUUCAGGGAGGUAGUGACAAUAAAUACUAAUUAGGAGCUCUUUUGGGCUUCUAAAUUGGAAUGAGUACAAUUUAAAUACCUUAACGAGGAACAAUUGGAGGGCAAGUCUGGUGCCAGCAGCCGCGGUAAUUCCAGCUCCAAUAGCGUAUAUUAAAGUUGUUGCAGUUAAAAAGCUCGUAGUUGAAACUUGGGUCUGGCUGACCGGUCCGCCUCACCGCGUGUACUGGCUCCGCCGGGCCUUUCCUUCUGGGGAGUCGCAUGCCCUUAGCUGGGUGUGUUGAGGAUCCAGGACUUUUACUUUGAAAAAAUUAGAGUGUUCAAAGCAGGCAUAUGCUCGAAUACAUUAGCAUGGAAUAAUAGAAUAGGACGUGCGGUUCUAUUUUGUUGGUUUCUAGGACCGCCGUAAUGA
This 752-nucleotide ribosomal RNA is filed under the name Fellhanera bouteillei. Its description in RNAcentral is "SSU rRNA". It matches the Rfam family "Eukaryotic small subunit ribosomal RNA", at positions 107 to 868 of the family's 1831-position model. The record is from RNAcentral. Lineage: Eukaryota; Fungi; Ascomycota; Lecanoromycetes; Lecanorales; Pilocarpaceae.